Molecule: long non-coding RNA, 6758 nt
Organism: Schistocerca gregaria
Lineage: Eukaryota; Metazoa; Arthropoda; Insecta; Orthoptera; Acrididae
Exons: 8
Source: RefSeq, a predicted model, not a curated record
UUAUAUUUUUAUUUGUAACAUAAGUCCAGGAAGUGGCAAUCUAACUUUUGACAGACCCUCCAAGGCACUGGUUCACUCCUUCCGCUCAACCCAGAACCAGGAGGUCAUGAUCAGUCGUGGAGACAAUGCUGCAAAUUACUAUGAGGUGACAGAAAUCGUGAGGUACCUUAUAAUAUUGUGUCAGGCCUCCUUUCGCCCAGUAUAGUGCAGCAACUCGAUGUGGCAUGGGCUGUACAAGUCCGCUGCAGGAAUACUGUUCCAUGCCGACCCUAUUCCUGCCCAGAAAUGCAAAAGUGUUGCCGAUGCAGGAUUUUGUGCAUGAACUGCCAUUUGGAUAUGCCCUAUCAGUGUUCAAUGGGAUUCAUAUCGGGCAAUCUGUGUGGCCAAAUCAUUCACUGGAAUUGGCCAGAAUGUUCUUCAAACUAACUGUGAACAGUUGUGGCCCAAUGAUACGGCAUAAAGUCAUCCAUAAAACCUCCAUAGUUGUUUGGAAAGAAAUGGUCUCAAAGUAUCCAAACAAAAUAAUUUCCAGUCAAUGUUAAUUCAGAUGGACCAAAGGACUGUAUCCAUUCCAUGUAAACACAGUCCACACCACUAUGGAGCCACCACCAGCAUGCACAGUGUCUUGUUGACAAGUUCAUGGGAUCUGUACCACACUUGAAUGCUACCAUCAGCUCUUACCAACAGAAAUCAGGACUCAUUUGAUCAGGCCAUGGUUUUCCAGUCAUAUAGGGUCCAGCCAAUGUCAUGAGCCCGCUCUGUUGGUGAUGUGCCGUUAGCACAGACACUCGCAUUGUUCAUCUGCUGCUAUAGCUCAUCAACACCGAAUUUCGCCAUACGGUCCUAAUAGAUGUAUUUGUCAUAUGUCCCACAUUGAUUUCUGCGUUUAUUUCACACAGUUUUGCUUGAAUAUUAGCAUUGACAAUUCUAAGCAAAUGCUGCUGCUCUCAGGCGUUAAGUGAAGUCAGUCAACCACUGCGUUGUCCACAGUGAGAGGUAAUGACUGAAAUUUGGUGUUUGUGGCACACUCUUGACACUGUUGAUCUUGGAAUAUUAAAUUCCCUAACAAUUUCUAAAUUGGAAUGUCCCAUGUCACUGAUUACCUCUCUGCAUUCAGUCUGUUAAUUCCCUUUGUGCAACCAUUAUCAGGUGAUAAACCUUUUCACUCAAAUCACCUGAGUACAAAUAACAGCUCUGCCAAUACAAUGAUCCAUUCUUUUGUAUGCAUUGCUACCAUCAUCAGUAUGUUACUUGAAUAUCGCUAUGCAUGAGUUUUGUCACCUCAGCAUAAGAGCUUUGUUGUAACUCAGGAUUGGUGGUCUUCUCAACUUCCAUCUUCUAGUCACUGGAGUGGUCCAAGUAUGACCUUGGAACCGAGUGCAGAUCACUUGAUCCGACAUGCAUGGCAGUCUGCAGUUGUUUGCAACCCUUCAUGGCUGUUGGAAUUGCUUCUUCAGCAUGUUGAAUGGAGUUAAGCUUUCGGACUGUUUGCUACAGGUGUUCCUUCCCAUCCAUUGUUGCCAUUUCCCUAAGGGGAACCAUUAUUCACUGUACAUUUGAAGUGCUGAAGAUUAAUAGACCCAUACCCUUUUGUAUUUGCCUCCUCUUGCCACAGGACACAGCAGGUUCCCCAACAAGUGAAGUGAGUGUCACUGGUUAAGUUUGUUUCAGUGAAAGACAGCACUUUUUGGUUAGUGGUGUAACACAGUGAGUUCUUUUGAAUUGGAGAUACACAGUGAUACUUUGUUUCUGAAAUAAUUUAUUGCCCAGCAGAUUCACAUUAAUUUCAAAAUGGUGUUACCAGCCUUGGCCAUCACCGUGCAUGUUAAGAUCAUAAAGUAGAUGAUGCUGUUCACUGCAAAAACCACAUUGUUUUUUGGUUAUGUUUGAUCUAUACAGGACACCUACCGUAUUUACUCGAAUCUAAGCCGCACCUGAAAAAUGAGACUCGAAAUCAAGGGGGAAAAAAAUUCCCAAAUAUAAGCCGCAUCUGAAAUCCGAGAAUUGAAAUUCAAGAGGAGAGAAAAGUUUUAGGUCGUACCUCCAAAUUGAAACAUAGUUGGUCCAUUGUAAUAUGAGACACAAUAUGGGUCAAAUGAAUGAUGAUACAGCUACAGUAGUUUGGUUCGAGUCAUAAGCUUAGCAGUUAAGCUUUACCAGGUAGCCAUUGCUAUGUGUCAGGGUACCCUUCGUUUUUCACGUGCUUCGUCUGGUUUGAAUUGAUUGCUUAUUUUUCUUUGAUCUGAUAAGUGCCGCUCUCUUUGUUAUAGAUGGCGCAGUGGUUAGCACACUGGGCUCGCAUUCGGGAGGACGACGGUUCAAUCCCGUCUCCGGCCAUCCUGAUUUAGGUUUUCCGUGAUUUCCCUAAAUCGCUUCAGGCAAAUGCCGGGAUGGUUUCUUUGAAAGGGCACGGCCGAUUUCCUUCCCCAUCCUUCCCUCACCCGAGCUUGCGCUCCAUCUCUAAUGACCUCGUUGUCAACGGGACGUUAAACACUAAUCUCCUCCUCCUCCUUUGUUAGAGAGAGAGAGAGAGGUUGCUAUUUUUUUGUUACUAACACUGCUGCUUUCUUUGACAAUGAUCAACAAGAACCAAAUAAUAGACUGCGUAUGAUAGAAGAUGAUCUGAACGAGAGUUUAGCGAAAAGUUCUAUCCGUUUGAAAAUCUUUACAAACACCUCUUUAGUACAUAACAUUCUGCAAAGAAAUUAGUCAUAUUAGAUUUCAAAAUCUAGUCAAACGCCGUGCUUCAUUUCUGACCGUAUCACUAUCAGGCAUAAGAAUAAUACAAAUAUAAACAUGAAAUGAUAUGUAUAUUCUUCCGCGUUUGCUGUUGUCUCACUCUAGUUUCGUAGUUUAUUAGGCAGAUAGGAUUUAAACGAGAUAGCAGCAAACACGAAAGAGUACAUGGCAAAGUGUUCAUAUUCAUAUUAUUCUUAUGGUGAAGAGAAUACUGCAUGUGAUUCACAAUUCAUAAAUGUUCCUAUUAGCAACCAUCUCUUCUCACAAACAGAUUUAUUAUGCUAAUCGGAAAUACAGAAGCAUCCAAUUCCACCCGUCUGCUUUGACCCAUGAUGUCACAAAUAUGGUGGAAACGACCAUACACUAAGACUCCAAUAUGGCACCUAUGAUGACGUCAUCACGUAAACAUGACCACAAACACGAAAAUACAUUGAAAACCCAACACACACACAUUUCACAAUAAACCUAAUGAAACCAACGGGACAAGUGUGGGAAAUUGGGGGGUUUUGGGUGGGGACAAAGUAAAUAUAAACAAAUUUAGACACACACCACCGUACCAAACCACACAAAAUGACCGAAAAAACCGACAACACAAAACUCCCCAAAUACCACUAAACCAAUAUCCUCUGGAAUCGACACUUCCCUUGACCUAUAUAGCUCAACAACAACUCCCGAUCCCACAAAUUGGAAUUGAACACUUCCCUUGACCUAUAUAGCUCAACAACAACUCCCCAUACCGAAAAACCCACAACCACACAUUGGAAUCGAACACUUCCCUUGACCUGUUAUUCUUAUGAAAUCUCCAGAUACAGCCGUCCCUGGUCCGAGAUGCCGGAACGUUAAGUAAGCCUCAUUUCUUCACGACAUACUGAACAUUUCACGACUUCAUCCAGAAAUCUGAAUAGCUGAAGAAAUUUUAUUAGAGACAACCUACUGUCCUCCAUCAUCGCCGACAACUGAAAACUGUUGACCUUGUCAGUCAUAUCCAUACCUACCAAAGACAUAAAAAAAGCAAUUUACCAAAACUCACUGGGAGACGAGUCUUUGGUAUUGACAGCUCGGUAGUGUCUUUCCGUUGCCUAGCGACCGCAGGCAGGCAGCCAAUGACGGCCUGACUUUGAGCGGGUAGCAAGGGCCACGUUGCCAUUCUGAAACCCGGUCGCGCGCGCAUACGAAACUUACCAGUGCCUCACAUGCAGGCGGUGCGGUUGUUCGUCGUUUGUCUGAAGUUGAAUUCACAGUUUAUUUCGUUUUUGUUGUUUUUAGUGUUUCUUUGUUUAUGUUUCGUUGUAAACAAUGUCUAGUGCGGCAGGUAGUACCCCCAACACAAGAAGUGAAACGGAGGAAGAAAAGUGUGCUACACACUCAGGCCCGUGAAUUCGUGUGCUCUGUGAGGAAUUACUUUGAGAAAAAAAAAGGACAAAGGUGGGCCCUUAAUUCCUGUUGUUCAGGUUGUGAAGAGAACUGCAGCAGCAUUGAAAAUAAGUAAGAACACUGUUGUAAAGAUAGGGAAAGAACAGUAUAGUGUAGAUUGUGAUGAGAGUGGCACAACAAAGCUGCACACACCAGGAAAGAAGCGACCGAGAAAUAAGCAGGUGACAGCUUUGGACGAUUUUCAGAAAGACGCUAUUCGUCCUCAUAUAUACAGCUAUUAUAAGAGAAGGGAACAUCCCACUCUAUCUAAAUUACUUGUGUCGCUUGAGAGAGACGAUCUUUUUAAAGGGAGCAAAUUUUCAUUGCGUGCAGUGUUGAAAGACAUAGGCUUCAGCUAUUCACUGUUUAACGGACGCAAAAUAUUAAUGGAAAGGACAGAUGUUGUUGCAUGGCAGUGCAGAUUUCUGCACAGGAUCAUGGGUGUGGAAUUCAAAAGUAUAGUGUGGUUAGAUGAAACUUGGGUCAAUGCCAGCCAUUCUUUACGUAGAGGCUGGAAUGAUGGAACACCCGAGGGGACAAUGGCAGUGCCUGUUGGCAAAGGAGGGCGUAUUAUUGUCUUACAUGCAGGAACAUUGAAAGGUUUUGUGCCAAACUGCAUGAAAAUGUUUCGGUAAAAAAAGACGGGAGAUUACCAUGAAGAAAUGAACAAUGUAGUAUUUCAAGAAUGGUUCGAGACAUCGCUUAUGACGAAUCUGACAAGUCCAUCAAAUAUUGUCAUGGACAAUGCGCCUUAUCAUUCCAUUGUUCACGAUAAGGCACCAACCUCGGCAACAAAAAAAGACGAUAUCAUUCAGUGGUUGAAACAGCGAAAAGUAGAUUUGAAAGAAGAUUUAAGGAAGGCGGAACUGCUCGAAAUUGUGGCACAAAAGAAACCCCAAUUUCCAACAUAUGUAAUUGAUGAGAUUGCUAAAAGGCACGGGCAUGAAAUCGUUCGGCUUCCUCCAUACCACUGACACUUCAAUGCAAUUGAAGGAGUGUGGGCGCAGAUAAAAAAUUACAUUGCUGCAAACAAUUAAAAAUUCAUGAACUCUGAAGUGGAAACUCUCCUUCCAGCAGCUAUCAAUAAAGUGACAAGCAAGACGUGGGCUAAAAUUGUAAACAGCACUGCAAGUGCCAUCAGAGAGGCGGCCGAAACCAAAGGGGUUGUGGAAGAAUGCAUCGAAAAUUUAAUUAUACAUCUGGGAGAGAGCAGUGAUAGUUCGAGUAGUGCUGAGGAAGACAAUGUCAAAUCAGAUUCUGACAGUGAUGUGAGUGGUGUUUUUCCAUAACAACGUAUUCAGGAAUGUAAGGAGGGAGUUUGCUAUUGAUCUACAACCAGAUCAUCAUAUUACACGGCGCCGCGUGCUGUGAGCCACGUUCGGCAACAGCGCCGUCUGCCCGCCGGAACUGUCAGUACCAAUCACUCGUCUCUCAGACUAUACAAUAACGUCAAAAUAACAAAACUAAGAUCGUUAACUCACUGAAAAAUAUUCCGCUGAAAGCACAGUCCUCAUACCACACACGUGCAAUGCUAUAACGCAAAAGAACCUCAUAAUCCACGUAACACACUACCCAUAAACACACCACCCCAGAGAGAACCACCAACCGCAACAAUACGCCACCUAUAAACACGCCACACAUGCAAACUAAACCAAAACAUCACCUAACACACCAUCAGAGAGCACUAUCAAUCACAUCAAAUCUACACCUACAAACACUACACUCUCACAAACGAAAGUCCGCGCCGUUGUGACAGUCCACACAACAACAGCCUUACGUCAUGGGUCAAAGCCGAUGGGUGGGAUUGGACUCUUCGGUCGACCCUGUUUAGCUGGCUGGUCUGAGGCGCCUUCUCACGGUUCACGUAGCUGCCCCACGUCGGAGGUUCGAGUCCUCCCUCAGGCAUGAGUUGUCUCCUGCAGUGGGAGAUGCCUGAUGGCCACUAUAGUGUGCAGGACCCAUUAAGCAUCGAUAAAGAGGAAUGUUCACCUCCAGAAGACUUUAUUGCACAUUCAGUAUUGAGAAGACUGAAGGCAAGGGAAAUAAGGAGGCUAUGAACGAGGACCACUUUGAGAUGAGUCAUGUUCCACAUGGUCUGUGUGUACCACUAGUGUGCUGCUGACAGCGGGGUAAAACAGACAAAGUUCAAGGACUUGAAACAUGGAGUGGAGUCAGCAAGUAGCGGCAUUGAACCAGAAAGGUACAAGCUCUACAGAGACAGUCCUGUGGCUCAAGUAAAUUUCUGACUUUUAUUAAAAGAUAAAACAAUACAUUCCACUCAAGCAUCUCACUCAUUAUAGAGGGAUGCUGACUCAGUUUUUCAGGACAGCAAAUGGGAAGAUGUAGUACAGAAAAUGGUCCGAGAUCACCAGACACCAGAGUGUCUGAGAUAUGAGUGAACAGUGUGGCAUUACAUUAUUUGUAAAAUAAAUAUUGUAUACCAGGAGUAAAUCUAAUGACUGUCUCUAACUAGAAGUUUGUAAAUGUAUGUGAAUGCGAAUUAGCUUAUUUUAUAUUGAUCUAAACUUGUAAAUACUUUGCCAUGUCCUAUAUCCUUGUAAAAAGAGUUCUACAAAGGAAUAAAGCUGCUGCUGCUGCUGCUGCUA